UCGAUAAUGGGACUCACGCAUCUAUAUUAAUUUGGUGACAGUCUGCCAGAAGAAUAUCAACUGUUAUCAAAAUUCAAAACUAUCAAAUUCUCUUAAUUAUAGGAAUUUCAGUUAAUUAAAAAAUAAAUUAUUUCGCUAGAAAGAGAAAGUAAACCAUAAUGGAAAACCAAAACUUUUCAAAGUAAAAUAGAAAAAUAAAAAAACUUAGCGAUGCAGAACUAAUCAUGCCA
RNAcentral lists this long non-coding RNA (230 nucleotides) under Salvia miltiorrhiza (redroot sage). Its description in RNAcentral is "long non-coding RNA (SMIL_LNC000884)". Lineage: Eukaryota; Viridiplantae; Streptophyta; Magnoliopsida; Lamiales; Lamiaceae. The record is from RNAcentral.